UGCAAUUCAGGCGUAGGCCCAUCUGCUU
Molecule: non-coding RNA, 28 nt
Filed under: Bombyx mori (domestic silkworm)
Lineage: Eukaryota; Metazoa; Arthropoda; Insecta; Lepidoptera; Bombycidae
Source: RNAcentral